CAGAGGGUGCGAGCGUUAAUCGGAAUUACUGGGCGUAAAGCGCGCGUAGGCGGCUAUGCAAGUCGAGUGUGAAAUCCCCGGGCUCAACCUGGGAACUGCAUUCGAGCUGCGUUGCUUGAGUAUGGGAGAGGGAGGCGGAAUUUCAGGUGUAGCGGUGAAAUGCGUAGAUAUCUGAAGGAACAUCAGUGGCGAAAGCGGCCUCCUGGACCAAUACUGACGCUCAAGUGCGAAAGCGUGGGGAGCAAACAGGAUUAGAUACCCUGGUAGUCCACGCCAUAAACGAUGAGAACUAGAUGUCGGGAGGGUUAGCCUCUCGGUGUCGCAGCUAACGCGUUAAGUUCUCCGCCUGGGGAGUACGGCCGCAAGGUUG
RNAcentral lists this ribosomal RNA (370 nucleotides) under uncultured organism. RNAcentral's name for it is "bacterial SSU rRNA". It matches the Rfam family "Bacterial small subunit ribosomal RNA", at positions 526 to 896 of the family's 1533-position model. The record is from RNAcentral.